RNAcentral lists this ribosomal RNA (389 nucleotides) under uncultured bacterium. Its description in RNAcentral is "bacterial SSU rRNA". It matches the Rfam family "Bacterial small subunit ribosomal RNA", at positions 104 to 509 of the family's 1533-position model. The record is from RNAcentral.
GGGUGAGUAACACGUGGGCAACCUGCCUCAUAGAGGGGAAUAGCCUUCCGAAAGGGAGAUUAAUACCGCAUAAGAUUGUAGUACCGCAUGGUACAGCAAUUAAAGGAGCAAUCCGCUAUGANAUGGGCCCGCGGCGCAUUAGCUAGUUGGUGAGGUAACGGCUCACCAAGGCGACGAUGCGUAGCCGACCUGAGAGGGUGAUCGGCCACAUUGGGACUGAGACACGGCCCAGACUCCUACGGGAGGCAGCAGUGGGGAAUAUUGCACAAUGGGGGAAACCCUGAUGCAGCAACGCCGCGUGAGUGAUGACGGCCUUCGGGUUGUAAAGCUCUGUCUUCAGGGACGAUNAUGACGGUACCUGAGGAGGAAGCCACGGCUAACUACGUGCC